RNAcentral lists this long non-coding RNA (262 nucleotides) under Cricetulus griseus (Chinese hamster). RNAcentral's name for it is "lncRNA (ENSCGRG00015034310.1)". The record is from RNAcentral. Lineage: Eukaryota; Metazoa; Chordata; Mammalia; Rodentia; Cricetidae.
CUGUAGUAGAAGUACUCAGGGUAGCCAAGCAAGCUGCUUGCUGCUCCACCUCUGAGGAAGGCCUGGGACCUGUCUUCAGGGGCAUCAACCAGGUUUGCAGUAAGGCUUGGUCAAUGAAGAGGUGACAAGAGGAAAAUCCCAGCAAACUCCAAAGGUAAACUCCAACAGAAGGAACUGCAAAGAAGACCCAAGUGGGACCCCCAGAACUGGAAGGCACAGAAACCCAGUUACUGCUGUCCAUGAUCUCACAAUGGACUUCACC